AUUUCUUUGAUCUUAGUUAUCUGUAACAAAACAUUUUAAUACUGAAAAUGGUGUUUAACUAAUUACUUCUCCAAAGGUUUUCUCUAAACAUUAUCAUCAUGUCAAAAUCGUGUGGUGACUGGUGGCUUUGCACCAAAGACAAUUACCAUUUUGGCCACUAUUGUUGGAGGAAACUGCAACAACAUAGUAAAAAUAGCAUUUACAUUUCAAGGCUUACUAUGCAACUAUUGAGUGAUGAAACACUAAAGACAUGUUUAGAAAAGUUGAGGGCCACUGACAUCGCUCAGUCUAACACUAAUGCCUUGAUGUCCAUUUUGAAUGUGAACAAGUACACCUCAAGCGCCCCACUUCUAGAUUGUCAGUUAAAUGCAAUGUUUUGAGUUUUCAGUGUAAUUAAACUUAGUAUUUUCUAUGUUAAUCUGAAAGCAUAUUCUCCUUUUUAACUGAACUAUAAAUUAAUUUAUUACCAAUCAUGUACAUCAGACUACAAAUUGUCCCCGUCUAUAAGCAUGCAUCUAAACUCACUGUACUAAUGUUAUAACUAGAAUUAUAACUAAAGCAAGUCAAUUCUCAAGAGAGUUGAAAAUUAUUCAGACAUUUCAAUGUUUCAAUAAAGAUUUGACCGCACAGCCCAAAGAAAACAGAAUUUUAAGCAAAUGCAUUUAAAUUAUUAUAGCUUAUUUAUUGUACACCUAACUAACCAUAGUCAUGUUGAUUUUGGCCUGGUUACUUAAAAUUAAGUAAGGGAUGUAGGUAAAUGAUUUCUGUGGGACUGUCUGGUUCAGGAUUUUGCUGCCACCAUGGGGCAUUUGUCAGAAUUUAGUCUUUUAGUUUCCAGGUGAAUAAACAAUGGAAAUCAACUUAAUGGUAAUAUAAAUGUAGAGAAUUGCCUCACUUAAGUGGAACAAAGAGCACAUGAAAAUGGGGCGUAACAGAGAAUGAAUAAUCAGCAAAACAAGAGUACAACAGCCUAAAUGAAUUGGCAGCAUGAUAUAUUUAAGCAGUGCCACUUAUUGUACAUUAAAACAUUCUGAUAAUAAACACUGAAAAAGAUCCCUAUUUUACACACAACACGAAAAAAGGAAUUUGCCGCCCUAUUGCAUGAGCAUACAAUUUGACUUAUUCACUGAUGUGCUAGCUUCGGAAACAGGUGAUAGACUUUGAAUGGCUGGGGGUCGGUGAGGAAAGGGUUGAAUAUCUCUGCCAGUUUGUGCUUGGCUCUACCCUCCUCUUUGCCAGGUCUGCCUAGUGUGCUUUAUUGGCUCCCAUUGUUAACAAAUAUGCCAUAUUGGGGUUAAUUAUAAUUAUUGUCUAUAUCCAUUCUAAAAACACUAACCAGAUGAGCUCAUUAAAUUAAUUUAUGAUUGGGUAGCUGGUCUUAGUUUUUUUUACUGUAUAGGUAAUGUCUAAGGGCUAACCUCUGUCUCAUAAUCUUGCUUUCCAUGGUGCUACUGUGUGUGUGUGUCCCUCUGUCAAAGCCCCUGCUGGGAAACAUAGAAAAACACUUUGAGACUGUUUUUUUUUAUUAGGUUAUUUGUGUAUCACUUGUCUUUUUCACAUUGGACAAGGCCAGAUUAGCACUACAUAGCUCAGUGUCACACAGCUAUAACAGUGAGUACAGUUAUAUAAACUAACAUUCCUUCUUAGGGUAUUGCGUAGGUAUGGUGCUCAAUACGCAUCUGAAUGACUGUACCCAUUAAAAUAGCAUGUAUCUUUCUAUGUUAGACAGUCUGGAAUACAGGAAGCAGUAUUAGUGGAACAAGGGUAGUUCAUAUGGCCAAACUUUGCUCGAUGGAAAAAUUUGAGGUUACACCCAUAUCUUAUUGUACACACCUGAUUGCAAUGCAAACAAUCCCCAUUUCAUCAGAACUGUCUGCUGAUUAGUACAUACCGUGGACAAAGUGCUACUUCAAAAUGUAACUUAUAGGAUAGUAACAUGACAUAAGAACUGUCGCUAAUGAAUAUGAUGAAUUGAAUAAAUAUUGUAAUAAAAAGGCAAGAGCUCCUCAAGCAAGGCUAGGUCAGGUUGGAC
Esox lucius (northern pike) is the source of this 2032-nucleotide long non-coding RNA. The record is from Ensembl. Lineage: Eukaryota; Metazoa; Chordata; Actinopteri; Esociformes; Esocidae.